RNAcentral lists this ribosomal RNA (571 nucleotides) under Microbacterium sp. AgA18.1. RNAcentral describes it as "bacterial SSU rRNA". It matches the Rfam family "Bacterial small subunit ribosomal RNA", at positions 335 to 916 of the family's 1533-position model. The record is from RNAcentral. Lineage: Bacteria; Bacillati; Actinomycetota; Actinomycetes; Micrococcales; Microbacteriaceae.
ACUCCUACGGGAGGCAGCAGUGGGGAAUAUUGCACAAUGGGCGCAAGCCUGAUGCAGCAACGCCGCGUGAGGGACGACGGCCUUCGGGUUGUAAACCUCUUUUAGCAGGGAAGAAGCGAAAGUGACGGUACCUGCAGAAAAAGCGCCGGCUAACUACGUGCCAGCAGCCGCGGUAAUACGUAGGGCGCAAGCGUUAUCCGGAAUUAUUGGGCGUAAAGAGCUCGUAGGCGGUUUGUCGCGUCUGCUGUGAAAUCCGGAGGCUCAACCUCCGGCCUGCAGUGGGUACGGGCAGACUAGAGUGCGGUAGGGGAGAUUGGAAUUCCUGGUGUAGCGGUGGAAUGCGCAGAUAUCAGGAGGAACACCGAUGGCGAAGGCAGAUCUCUGGGCCGUAACUGACGCUGAGGAGCGAAAGGGUGGGGAGCAAACAGGCUUAGAUACCCUGGUAGUCCACCCCGUAAACGUUGGGAACUAGUUGUGGGGUCCAUUCCACGGAUUCCGUGACGCAGCUAACGCAUUAAGUUCCCCGCCUGGGGAGUACGGCCGCAAGGCUAAAACUCAAAGGAAUUGACGG